Molecule: ribosomal RNA, 445 nt
Filed under: uncultured bacterium
Lineage: Bacteria
Description: partial 16S ribosomal RNA
Rfam family: Bacterial small subunit ribosomal RNA
Source: RNAcentral
GUGAGGAAUAUUGGUCAAUGGGCGAGAGCCUGAACCAGCCAAGUCGCGUGAAGGCAGAAGGAUCUAUGGUUCGUAAACUUCUUUUGCAGGGGAAUAAAGUGCAGGACGUGUCCUGUUUUGUAUGUACCCUGAGAAUAAGGAUCGGCUAACUCCGUGCCAGCAGCCGCGGUAAUACGGAGGAUCCGAGCGUUAUCCGGAUUUAUUGGGUCUAAAGGGUGCGUAGGUGGUUUGAUAAGUCAGCGGUGAAAGUUUGCAGCUUAACUGUAAAAAUGCCGUUGAAGCUGUCGGACUUGAGGGGCAAUGAGGUAGGCGGAAUGCGUGGUGUAGCGGUGAAAUGCAUAGAUAGCGCGCAGAACUCCGAUGGCGAAGGCCGCUUACUAAGCUACUACUGACACUGAAGCACGAAAGCGUGGGGCUCAAACAGGAUUAGAUACCCCAGUAGUCC